This 882-nucleotide ribosomal RNA is filed under the name Bacillus subtilis. Its description in RNAcentral is "bacterial SSU rRNA". It matches the Rfam family "Bacterial small subunit ribosomal RNA", at positions 48 to 873 of the family's 1533-position model. The record is from RNAcentral. Lineage: Bacteria; Bacillati; Bacillota; Bacilli; Caryophanales; Bacillaceae.
CCUAUACCUGCAGUCGAGCGGACAGAUGGGAGCUUGCUCCCUGAUGUUAGCGGCGGACGGGUGAGUAACACGUGGGUAACCUGCCUGUAAGACUGGGAUAACUCCGGGAAACCGGGGCUAAUACCGGAUGGUUGUUUGAACCGCAUGGUUCAAACAUAAAAGGUGGCUUCGGCUACCACUUACAGAUGGACCCGCGGCGCAUUAGCUAGUUGGUGAGGUAACGGCUCACCAAGGCAACGAUGCGUAGCCGACCUGAGAGGGUGAUCGGCCACACUGGGACUGAGACACGGCCCAGACUCCUACGGGAGGCAGCAGUAGGGAAUCUUCCGCAAUGGACGAAAGUCUGACGGAGCAACGCCGCGUGAGUGAUGAAGGUUUUCGGAUCGUAAAGCUCUGUUGUUAGGGAAGAACAAGUACCGUUCGAAUAGGGCGGUACCUUGACGGUACCUAACCAGAAAGCCACGGCUAACUACGUGCCAGCAGCCGCGGUAAUACGUAGGUGGCAAGCGUUGUCCGGAAUUAUUGGGCGUAAAGGGCUCGCAGGCGGUUUCUUAAGUCUGAUGUGAAAGCCCCCGGCUCAACCGGGGAGGGUCAUUGGAAACUGGGGAACUUGAGUGCAGAAGAGGAGAGUGGAAUUCCACGUGUAGCGGUGAAAUGCGUAAAGAUGUGGAGGAACACCAGUGGCGAAGGCGACUCUCUGGUCUGUAACUGACGCUGAGGAGCGAAAGCGUGGGGAGCGAACAGCAUUAGAUACCCUGGGGAGUCCACGCCGCUAGACGAUAAGUGCUAGGUGUUUGGGGGGGUUUCCCCCCCCCUACUUGCGGCAGCUGACUCCCGUAGGCACUCCCGGCGCCCGGGGAACGUAGGCGCCGAUGGAUUCUC